Molecule: ribosomal RNA, 484 nt
Filed under: uncultured bacterium
Lineage: Bacteria
Description: partial 16S ribosomal RNA
Rfam family: Bacterial small subunit ribosomal RNA
Source: RNAcentral
AUUGAACGCUGGCGGCAGGCCUAACACAUGCAAGUCGAGCGGAUGAGUGGAGCUUGCUCCAUGAUUCAGCGGCGGACGGGCGAGUAAUGCCUAGGAAUCUGCCUGGUAGUGGGGGACAACGUUUCGAAAGGAACGCUAAUACCGCAUACGUCCUACGGGAGAAAGUGGGGGAUCUUCGGACCUCACGCUAUCAGAUGAGCCUAGGUCGGAUUAGCUAGUUGGUGAGGUAAAGGCUCACCAAGGCGACGAUCCGUAACUGGUCUGAGAGGAUGAUCAGUCACACUGGAACUGAGACACGGUCCAGACUCCUACGGGAGGCAGCAGUGGGGAAUAUUGGACAAUGGGCGAAAGCCUGAUCCAGCCAUGCCGCGUGUGUGAAGAAGGUCUUCGGAUUGUAAAGCACUUUAAGUUGGGAGGAAGGGCAGUAAGUUAAUACCUUGCUGUUUUGACGUUACCAACAGAAUAAGCACCGGCUAACUUCGUG